AAAGUUUCGGAUGGAGAGGAAGAUGUGUGUUCUAGCGGCGGACGGGUGAGUAACGCGUGAGCAACCUGUCCCUUACAGGGGGAUAACACAGCGAAAGUUGUACUAAUACCGCAUAAGACCACGGUGUCACAUGACAGAGGGUCAAAGGAGCAAUCCGGUGAGGGGUGGGCUCGCGUCCGAUUAGAUAGUUGGUGAGGUAACGGCCCACCAAGUCGACGAUCGGUAGCCGACCUGAGAGGGUGAUCGGCCACAUUGGGACUGAGACACGGCCCAAACUCCUACGGGAGGCAGCAGUGGGGAAUAUUGGGCAAUGGGGGGAACCCUGACCCAGCAACGCCGCGUGAGGGAAGAAGGUUUUCGGAUCGUAAACCUCUGUCCUUGGUGAAGAGGAAGAGACGGUAGCCAAGGAGGAAGCCCCGGCUAACUACGUGCCAGCCGCCGC
Molecule: ribosomal RNA, 442 nt
Filed under: uncultured bacterium
Lineage: Bacteria
Description: bacterial SSU rRNA
Rfam family: Bacterial small subunit ribosomal RNA
Source: RNAcentral